GGCUGGUAUUGUUGGGAAGUAUGGUAUGUCCUAAGCUCUUUUUUUCAUUUUAGUUAUUACAUUUGUUAAGCAGUUGAAGAUAAGAAAACCCACACACUUAACGACAAAAAAUUUUGCAUAUGCCCAUUACUCGAUGCUAGAACUGUUGUGUUCCCUUGCCUGACUAUGAUGUCAAGGCAUGCUUAACUCUCACUUGCGAUAUUGCCUGGUUUGGAAAACCACCGUGGCAUGUCCACUCUAAACGAUGUGUAAUGCUACUCUACUACCUUCUUUUCUUUCUAUUCUCUAGCUCAACGUGCUCCGCUUGUCCACUCUAGCCUUCAUAUGUCUAUUUUUCACACGAACAAACUGCCUCAAUCUCCCUUCUCUUAACUUAUACUCAAUUGGCCGUAUCACGAGGUGUAAUGAAAUUUUACUUUAGUUGUCACCUACAACAACACUCCUCGUUGACCAGCUAAGCACAAAGCGGAGUUACCACCUGGCUGCAAACGUUAGAAGAAAUUGGAACUUUUAUGUGUUGUGUGGAUUAAUAAUAUCCUUGCCCUAUUAGAUUUUAUACUGACCAUUUAGUUAUUUGACAAUCUGAUCAAUUGCGCAUUGGCAUAGACCCUUGUAUCUGAAAGGCGUUACGAAGCCACACAUUUUUAGUUGAGGAAAGAAAAUUACUUAAAAUCUUCUCAACUAUUUGAGACAACCGAGAUCAUUUGAUUGUUACGUGUUAUUUAUUGCCUCCUGGUUUGACUUAUGAAUGGAUUACUUGUCUUCUAUGCCCCUUACUUUUGUAUCUAGCAUUUUUGGAUUCUGUGCAUGUCUUGUGAUUUGUGAGUUCAUAUAUAAUAUUUGCACAUGUUGGCAUUUGACCUUGUCGGUUAGAAAGGUGGCACUUACUGUGUAUUUGCAUUGUAGGCACCCGAUAUGGUGCUAGUCUGCGGAAGCAG
RNAcentral lists this unclassified non-coding RNA (938 nucleotides) under Hevea brasiliensis (rubber tree). Lineage: Eukaryota; Viridiplantae; Streptophyta; Magnoliopsida; Malpighiales; Euphorbiaceae. The record is from RNAcentral.